GACGUAGGGAGCGAGCGUUGUCCGGAAUCAUUGGGCGUAAAGAGCGCGUAGGCGGCUACGCAAGUCGGAUGUGAAAACUCGGGGCUCAACCCCGAGCGUGCAUCCGAUACUGCGUGGCUAGAGGUAGGUAGGGGAGAUCGGAAUUCCUGGUGUAGCGGUGAAAUGCGCAGAUAUCAGGAGGAACACCGGUGGCGAAGGCGGAUCUCUGGGCCUUACCUGACGCUCAGGCGCGAAAGCUAGGGGAGCAAACAGG
Molecule: ribosomal RNA, 253 nt
Filed under: uncultured bacterium
Lineage: Bacteria
Also listed under: 1 other name
Description: partial 16S ribosomal RNA
Rfam family: Bacterial small subunit ribosomal RNA
Source: RNAcentral